Non-coding RNA from Thalictrum thalictroides, 130 nucleotides. Lineage: Eukaryota; Viridiplantae; Streptophyta; Magnoliopsida; Ranunculales; Ranunculaceae. The record is from the annotation of a GenBank genome assembly.
GAAACAAGAGACAGUCAAGUAAGCCAAGGAUGACUCCCAUAUUGGCCAUUUCAGGCUCAAAGAAAAGUAAGAAGAGCCACAAGAGCAGUAUAGGCAAGCCAUUCUUGGCUAACAAACAAGGCUCAUGUUU